CUGCACUGCUAUCGGAUUGAUACUAAGCCAUGCGAGUCAUUGUAGUAAUACAAGGCAGACGGCUCAGUAACGCGUAGUCAACCUAACCUAUGGACGGGAAUAACCUCGGGAAACUGAGUAUAAUGCCCGAUAGAACAUUAUGCCUGGAAUGGUUUAUGUUCCAAAUGAUUUAUCGCCGUAGGAUGGGACUGCGGCCUAUCAGUUUGUUGGUGAGGUAAUGGCCCACCAAGACUAUUACAGGUACGGGCUCUGAGAGGAGUGGCCCGGAGAUGGGUACUGAGACACGGACCCAGGCCCUAUGGGGCGCAGCAGGCGAGAAAACUUUGCAAUGUGCGAAAGCACGACAAGGUUAAUCCGAGUGGUUUCUGCUAAAGGAACCUUUUGUCGGUCCUAGAAACACCGAUGAAUAAGGGGUGGGCAAGUUCUGGUGUCAGCCGCCGCGGUAAAACCAGCACCUCAAGUGGUCAGGAUGAUUAUUGGGCCUAAAGCAUCCGUAGCCGGCUUUGUUAGUUUUCGGUUAAAUCUGUACGCUUAACGUACAGGCUGCCGGGAAUACUGCAGAGCUAGGGAGUGGGAGAGGUAGACGGUACUCGGUAGGAAGGGGUAAAAUCCUUUGAUCUAUUGGAUGACCACCUGUGGCGAAGGCGGUCUACCAGAACACGUCCGACGGUGAGGGAUGAAAGCUGGGGGAGCAAACCGGGAUUAGAUACCCGGGUAGUCCCAGCUGUAAACUAUGCAAACUCAGUGAUGCAUUGGCUUGUGGCCAAUGCAGUGCUGCAGGGAAGCCGUUAAGUUUGCC
Molecule: ribosomal RNA, 799 nt
Filed under: uncultured marine archaeon
Lineage: Archaea
Description: bacterial SSU rRNA
Rfam family: Archaeal small subunit ribosomal RNA
Source: RNAcentral